GAUGAACGCUGGCGGCGUGCCUAAUACAUGCAAGUCGAGCGAACAGACGAGGAGCUUGCUCCUCUGACGUUAGCGGCGGACGGGUGAAUAACACGUGGAUAACCUACCUAUAAGACUGGGAUAACUUCGGGAAACCGGAGCUAAUACCGGAUAAUAUAUUGAACCGCAUGGUUCAAUAGUGAAAGACGGUUUUGCUGUCACUUAUCGAUGGAUAUCCGCCGCAUUAGCUAGUUGUUAAGUUCACGGGCUACCAAGGCAACGAUGCGUAACCGACGUGAGAGGGUGGUCGGCCACACUGGAACGGGGACACGGUCCAGGCGACUACGGGAGGCAGCAGAAGGGAAUCUUCCGCAAUGGGGGAAAGCUUGACGGAGCAAGGGCGCGUGAGAGGUGAAAGUCUUCGGUUCGUAAAACUCUGUUAUUAGGGAAGAACAAAUGUGUAAGUAGCUAUGCACGUCUUGACGGUACCUAAUCAGAAAGCCACGGCUAACUACGUG
Molecule: ribosomal RNA, 497 nt
Filed under: uncultured bacterium
Lineage: Bacteria
Description: partial 16S ribosomal RNA
Rfam family: Bacterial small subunit ribosomal RNA
Source: RNAcentral